This 2395-nucleotide ribosomal RNA is filed under the name Salmonella enterica subsp. enterica serovar Typhimurium. RNAcentral's name for it is "partial 23S ribosomal RNA". It matches the Rfam family "Bacterial large subunit ribosomal RNA", at positions 508 to 2802 of the family's 2925-position model. The record is from RNAcentral. Lineage: Bacteria; Pseudomonadati; Pseudomonadota; Gammaproteobacteria; Enterobacterales; Enterobacteriaceae.
GGAAAGGCGAAAAGAACCCCGGCGAGGGGAGUGAAAAAGAACCUGAAACCGUGUACGUACAAGCAGUGGGAGCACCCUUCGGGGUGUGACUGCGUACCUUUUGUAUAAUGGGUCAGCGACUUAUAUUCUGUAGCAAGGUUAACCGUAUAGGGGAGCCGGAGGGAAACCGAGUCUUAAUUGGGCGUUAAGUUGCAGGGUAUAGACCCGAAACCCGGUGAUCUAGCCAUGGGCAGGUUGAAGGUUGGGUAACACUAACUGGAGGACCGAACCGACUAAUGUUGAAAAAUUAGCGGAUGACCUGUGGCUGGGGGUGAAAGGCCAAUCAAACCGGGAGAUAGCUGGUUCUCCCCGAAAGCUAUUUAGGUAGCGCCUCGUGAAUUCAUCUCCGGGGGUAGAGCACUGUUUCGGCUAGGGGGCCAUCCCGGCUUACCAACCCGAUGCAAACUGCGAAUACCGGAGAAUGUUAUCACGGGAGACACACGGCGGGUGCUAACGUCCGUCGUGAAGAGGGAAACAACCCAGACCGCCAGCUAAGGUCCCAAAGUCAUGGUUAAGUGGGAAACGAUGUGGGAAGGCCCAGACAGCCAGGAUGUUGGCUUAGAAGCAGCCAUCAUUUAAAGAAAGCGUAAUAGCUCACUGGUCGAGUCGGCCUGCGCGGAAGAUGUAACGGGGCUAAACCAUGCACCGAAGCUGCGGCAGCGAACGUAUCACCCAAGACAACUUUACGGAGUUGACGAUUGACGGAGCGAAGCGACGUCAAAGCGUUCAUUAAAGUCGAGUUGGCUUAGGGAUACGUUCGUUGGGUAGGGGAGCGUUCUGUAAGCCUGUGAAGGUGUGUCGUGAGGCAUGCUGGAGGUAUCAGAAGUGCGAAUGCUGACAUAAGUAACGAUAAAGCGGGUGAAAAGCCCGCUCGCCGGAAGACCAAGGGUUCCUGUCCAACGUUAAUCGGGGCAGGGUGAGUCGACCCCUAAGGCGAGGCCGAAAGGCGUAGUCGAUGGGAAACGGGUUAAUAUUCCCGUACUUGGUGUUACUGCGAAGGGGGGACGGAGAAGGCUAUGUUGGCCGGGCGACGGUUGUCCCGGUUUAAGCGUGUAGGUGUGUGUUCCAGGUAAAUCCGGUUCACUUUAACACUGAGGCGUGACGACGAGGCACUACGGUGCUGAAGCAACAAAUGCCCUGCUUCCAGGAAAAGCCUCUAAGCAUCAGGUAACACGAAAUCGUACCCCAAACCGACACAGGUGGUCAGGUAGAGAAUACCAAGGCGCUUGAGAGAACUCGGGUGAAGGAACUAGGCAAAAUGGUGCCGUAACUUCGGGAGAAGGCACGCUGACACGUAGGUGAAGUGAUUUACUCAUGGAGCUGAAGUCAGUCGAAGAUACCAGCUGGCUGCAACUGUUUAUUAAAAACACAGCACUGUGCAAACACGAAAGUGGACGUAUACGGUGUGACGCCUGCCCGGUGCCGGAAGGUUAAUUGAUGGGGUCAGCGUAAGCGAAGCUCCUGAUCGAAGCCCCGGUAAACGGCGGCCGUAACUAUAACGGUCCUAAGGUAGCGAAAUUCCUUGUCGGGUAAGUUCCGACCUGCACGAAUGGCGUAAUGAUGGCCAGGCUGUCUCCACCCGAGACUCAGUGAAAUUGAACUCGCUGUGAAGAUGCAGUGUACCCGCGGCAAGACGGAAAGACCCCGUGAACCUUUACUAUAGCUUGACACUGAACAUUGAGCCUUGAUGUGUAGGAUAGGUGGGAGGCUUUGAAGUGUGGACGCCAGUCUGCAUGGAGCCGACCUUGAAAUACCACCCUUUAAUGUUUGAUGUUCUAACGUGGACCCGUAAUCCGGGUUGCGGACAGUGUCUGGUGGGUAGUUUGACUGGGGCGGUCUCCUCCUAAAGAGUAACGGAGGAGCACGAAGGUUGGCUAAUCCUGGUCGGACAUCAGGAGGUUAGUGCAAUGGCAUAAGCCAGCUUGACUGCGAGCGUGACGGCGCGAGCAGGUGCGAAAGCAGGUCAUAGUGAUCCGGUGGUUCUGAAUGGAAGGGCCAUCGCUCAACGGAUAAAAGGUACUCCGGGGAUAACAGGCUGAUACCGCCCAAGAGUUCAUAUCGACGGCGGUGUUUGGCACCUCGAUGUCGGCUCAUCACAUCCUGGGGCUGAAGUAGGUCCCAAGGGUAUGGCUGUUCGCCAUUUAAAGUGGUACGCGAGCUGGGUUUAGAACGUCGUGAGACAGUUCGGUCCCUAUCUGCCGUGGGCGCUGGAGAACUGAGGGGGGCUGCUCCUAGUACGAGAGGACCGGAGUGGACGCAUCACUGGUGUUCGGGUUGUCAUGCCAAUGGCACUGCCCGGUAGCUAAAUGCGGAAGAGAUAAGUGCUGAAAGCAUCUAAGCACGAAACUUGCCCCGA